Oryzias latipes (Japanese medaka) is the source of this 1403-nucleotide long non-coding RNA. RefSeq lists it as uncharacterized. The record is from RefSeq and is a predicted model, not a curated record. NCBI's taxonomy places the organism in Eukaryota, Metazoa, Chordata, Actinopteri, Beloniformes, Adrianichthyidae.
GUGGGAGUUAGCUGGAGCAGCAGUGACCCUCAGUGUACAUUUAGAGAAAGGAUAAAUGGGGUCACUGUGGGGCAUAUAAUCUAAUCCAUCUGAAAGUUCUGCUUGGCCCCUCUAUUUGGGUGCAGGUAUGGAUGCUUGGCGUCUGCUCUUGUUCCAGGGAUGAUGACCUGACUUCCUCCCUUCCACAUCUUCCAUGGAGGCUGUCUAAUUCUCCGUAUUGCCAGAUCCUGCUACUUUGAGACUGAUGGGAUCGAGUCGUUGUUCUGGGGAACUCCAAGUGAAAAUCGGAGGAGAAUGGAGAGCCGUUGAUGCCCGGGGAUUUCCUAGAACACAGACAACAUUAGCACUAGUGUGCAAGAAGCUGAAGUGUGGAUGUUUCAUGGACAACUAAACAACUUCCAAGAGAAGAGCCAGCUUUUCAGAUGAGGUCUACCUGCUUUCAAAAAUUUCCAAUAAAUAUGGAGACAUGUUUGUUUGGCGAUACAAUGAGCAGCAACACGAUGGAAAUCACCUGCUUAGACUCUGUCAGGCUGAAGAACGGAUCCAGUCGGUGUUCAGGCAGGUUGGAGGUGAAGUCCAAUAACUCGUGGUCCUCCGUGUUUGAAGAUGACUUUGACCUGCUGGAUGCAGAGGUGGUCUGUAGGGAGCUGGGCUGUGGAACUCCUUCAGUCUUCCAGGGGGUGCCAUAUGCAGUUUUAGAGGCUCCUAAGUGGAACAAAGAGUUUCUCUGUGAAGGUCAUGAGUCUGCUCUGCUGGACUGCAACCACGCCAGCAGAGAGAGAAGCUCCCUAGCGGACAAAGUUGUUGACCUCACCUGUUCAGGUGGAGGUGGAGCUACAGCUUUAAAACUGGUUGCAUAUGUUAUCAUUUAUCAAUAACGUAUCUGUUUGUGCCUAUAUGAAGGAAUCAUCCGCUUGGCAGGAGACAUUAGUCACUGUGCUGGAACACUGGAGAUGUUUUACGGUGGAGAAUGGGGACCAGUAGCAGCUUCUAACUGGACCCGGGACUCCGCCUCUGCAGUGUGCGCUCAGCUGGGUUGCGGUUCUGCUAUGUCUUCUAGAAGCAAAGACAACUUUCUAAACAGAUCUGUGUGGUGGAUCCAGCCUCCCUGUGGCCUAUCGCUGGAAGACUGUAACAUCAUGCACUGGGUUGAUCAAAGCGAAUCUACUCUUGAAAUAUGUUCAGUCCAUGUUGUCGGUUUGGUGAUCUGAGGGUUUGUCGUCUUGGUGGGUUUGAUGGCGAUGAUCAUCAUCACCUGCUUCUAUGCCAGGACCGGCAGAAAACCAGACGGAGAACAUGAGAGCAACCGUGACGUUACUGAUGGUUCUGAUUCUGGAAGCUGUACAGAGGAUAGGACUGCAGUGUGAAGGAAAGAAUGAACAGUCGAGGCUGCAGCUGUAAAA